Molecule: ribosomal RNA, 787 nt
Filed under: uncultured Nitrososphaerota archaeon
Lineage: Archaea; Thermoproteati; Nitrososphaerota
Description: bacterial SSU rRNA
Rfam family: Archaeal small subunit ribosomal RNA
Source: RNAcentral
CGGCUCAGUAACACGUAGUCAACCUAACUUAUGGACGGGGAUAACCUCGGGAAACUGAGAAUAAUACCCGAUAGGUCAUGAUGCCUGGAAUGGUUUAUGACUCAAAUGAAUGUCGCCGUAGGAUGGGACUGCGAGCUAUCAGCUUGUUGGUGAGGUAAUGGCCCACCAAGGCUAUAACAGCUACGGGCUCUGAGAGGAGUAGCCCGGAGAUGGGUACUGAGACAAGGACCCAGGCCCUAUGGGGCGCAGCAGGCGAGAAAACUUUGCAAUGCGGGAAACCGUGACGAGGGAACUCCAAGUGUCUAUGCAUUGCAUAGACUGUUUUUUAGCCUAAAUAGCUAUUAGAGUAAGGGGUGGGUAAGACCGGUGCCAGCCGCCGCGGUAAAACCAGCACCUCAAGUGGUCAGGAUGAUUAUUGGGCCUAAAGCAUCCGUAGCCUGUUCUGUAAGUUUUCGGUUAAAUCCAUAAGCUCAACUUAUGGGCUGCCGAAAAUACUGCAGGACUAGGGAGUGGGAGAGGUAGACGGUACUCGGUAGGAAGGGGUAAAAUCCUUUGAUCUAUUGAUGACCACCUGUGGCGAAGGCGGUCUACCAGAACACGUUCGACGGUGAGGGAUGAAAGCUGGGGGAGCAAACCGGAUUAGAUACCCGGGUAGUCCCAGCUGUAAACGAUGCAAACUCGAUGAUGCGUUGGCUUGUUGCUAGCGCAGUGUCGCAGGGAAGCCGUUAAGUUUGCCGCCUGGGAAGUACGUACGCAAGUAUGAAACUUAAAGGAAUUGGCGGGGGAG